UGGGUUGUGGCUCAGUGGUAGAGCACUUACCUAGCACACACGAGGCACUGGGUUCGAUCCCCAGCACCACAU
RNAcentral lists this transfer RNA (72 nucleotides) under Marmota monax (woodchuck). It matches the Rfam family "tRNA". From Rfam's summary of the family: Transfer RNA (tRNA) molecules are approximately 80 nucleotides in length. Their secondary structure includes four short double-helical elements and three loops (D, anti-codon, and T loops). Further hydrogen bonds mediate the characteristic L-shaped molecular structure. tRNAs have two regions of fundamental functional importance: the anti-codon, which is responsible for specific mRNA codon recognition, and the 3' end, to which the tRNAs corresponding amino acid is attached (by aminoacyl-tRNA synthetases). tRNAs cope with the degeneracy of the genetic code in two manners: having more than one tRNA (with a specific anti-codon) for a particular amino acid; and 'wobble' base-pairing, i.e. permitting non-standard base-pairing at the 3rd anti-codon position. Lineage: Eukaryota; Metazoa; Chordata; Mammalia; Rodentia; Sciuridae. The record is from Rfam by way of RNAcentral.